This 535-nucleotide long non-coding RNA is filed under the name Felis catus (domestic cat). RNAcentral's name for it is "lncRNA (ENSFCAG00000045064.2)". Lineage: Eukaryota; Metazoa; Chordata; Mammalia; Carnivora; Felidae. The record is from RNAcentral.
GAAUGUUUUGCGUGCAUUCGAGGAGACUGUGUACCCCUGCUGCUGUUGGAUGGCACGUCUGGAUGCGGUUAUGCAGUCCUGCGUAGGUGCCUGUGUAUUCAAAGACGCGGUCAGCUCUUCCAGACGGACUUUGGGUCCCGCCUGCUGCGGACCCGUGCAGUUGUCCUCUUUGCUUUUGGAGACUGGAAUGCCAAGGCGCACAGCGUCUUCGUCCCUUGGCUGCCUCUUUCUCCAGCCCGGGUAGAUGCCCAAUCACUCUGGCCAACCUGGCCAACCGCCCGGCACCCAGCUCAGAGCCCAGAACACAAAAGGAGUCUGGGAAGGCUCCAGGAGACCAGAAGUCAGAUGCUAACCCCACAGACCUUGACAGCAGCCUCCAUGUGCCGCAAUGUCCAUUCAUCAAGAACUCACUUUGCUAUUAUUUUCUUCUCUUAAUUCCCCACGUGUUAAUGAGAAACACUUCAGGUAGGUGCUCCAUAAACAAGCGAUUACUAAAAAGGCAUUUAAAGGUCUGCUCCAUUACUGUCUCUGAUAU